RNAcentral lists this long non-coding RNA (3758 nucleotides) under Phaseolus vulgaris (common bean). RNAcentral's name for it is "long non-coding RNA (PVUL_LNC002094)". The record is from RNAcentral. Lineage: Eukaryota; Viridiplantae; Streptophyta; Magnoliopsida; Fabales; Fabaceae.
AUUCCAAACCCUAAUUUUUUCCAUCUCUCUCUCGUUCUCUAUCUCUUCCACUUUUUUUUUUUUCUCGCUAAUCGCUCAGCGUUCUGAUCGCAGAUCGUCGGAGAUUUUAAGGUGUAAUGGCACUUUAUGAAGCACUUCUGCUGUAGGAAAGCCAUUUUGAUGACUGGGAACUGCAUGUAAGUAAAGCGGAGAACGAUUUCGUGAGUAUCUACCUCCUCUAACUGAAUUAUCUUCUGGUUUCAACUCAAUUGUAUCGAACAAGGGUUUGUCUUUUGCAUUUUUGGUGAAUAGAAUUUGGCUUUGAUAUUCCUAACAGAGAUGUGUCUUGUUACCUAUCGUGAACAUAUAAUUAAGUGCUACUAGUUUGAUUAAUUUAUGCCAUUUUUGUUCAAGGAUUUUUGUGUUUCAUUUAUUGUACUCUUGAUCUAUUGUUUUCUUUAUCAGCUAAUGGUGCUCUGUUUUAUGCGAAUGUUUCUUUGUCUGUGAAUGAUAAUUAGUGGGUGGUGGUGAAAACUAAAUGGAAUAAUAUAACUUUUGCACUUAACUGAAUAACAAGGUAAGGUCUAUCUUUUUAUUUCUUUGCAGAUAUCCUAGGUAUCCUCCAUAGGAGACAGUCAUGCUUGAACUUGGUAGGACUUGGACAACAAAGUUCUUCCUUCGAGUAUUUGAUACACCUAUAUACUCAAGGUUUGAAUUCAAGAUACAAUAUAUCAAAUUCUAAUUGUUGGCUUAUUGCAAUUUUUGAAUGGGAAAAAAAUACAAAUAAAAGUACGGAACUAAAUAUGUCAGUGAUAAUAAUCUUAAACUCCUCUUAUCCUCUAAACAAUCUUGUAGAGAAUCCAGUAUUUUGGCGUUUAGAUGGCUUUAUUUUGGAUGAAUGGGUCAGUAUCAGCCACUCUAAACUUUGUAACUGGGCUUUGCUUAUGUUUUGACAGAUUAUCUUUCUUAAUAUUUAUAUACAUUCCUAUUGGAUGAAUUUGUAGGCAUUUAAAAAUAAAAAGGUAUAAUAGAUACUGGUAGACCACAGACAUAAAUUAUUGUUUAUAAGUUCCUUCUCAACUAUCAGUUUAGUUUGGUUGUAUUUCUUUAUCAAAGCCCAUAUUUAAGAUUUCGAAGCUAGACUUAAACCAGUCCAUGCAUACCCAUUACAUAUGAAGCUUUUGAAUAUAUUGUUGUAAUUAAUCGUUGUAACUUGUUAAAUAAGAUGAGAACAGAAGACAAGUAAACAUCUUAAGACACAAUGGAAUCUGACAAAUUUGCCAUAAUAUAUAUGACCCAUGCAUAAUAUUGUGAAAAAGGGAUCAUAUUUUGCUUGAAAUUUUUUGUUCUGUAAUGAUGGUUCUAUGAACUUGGAGGUAUUGAAUCUAAGUUUACUUGGACUUAGUCUUAAGUGUUGGUUGUAUUCUUGUAUCUGACACAUGUAUGCACAAUUUUUUCUCUUGGAGAAUCAUAGCCAUGAAUGCUUAUUUUUAGUGUAUGACAUCUUAAAGUAUAGGGAAAAGAUUGUUUAAAGGUUCAAUUAAUCUGAUCAGCACCCAAGUGCUUGGGGAACCUUCCCUUAAAGUAUCAAGGUGAACAUGAUUGUUCUUGCACAAUUCAGUGGACCAAUCACCACUCUGGGAGCCACUUGACUUGUGUUUGUGUUUGACCAUGGGAGUCAGUGGGUCUUCAACUGUGAUGGAGCUUGGUUUCAUACAAAUGCUGGCCAAGCUCCCACCACCACUAGAGCUGCUAGACUUUGGCGCUCAUACAGUGCCCAAUAUUAAGCUGGCUGUUAAGAGGGUAUAGCCGCGCUAGUUAAGUAUUUCACUAAGCAUGUCAUACUAUUCUAUGCAAAACUUAGGCUACUUUCGGUUCCACAGAAGGAAAAUAAAAAUAAAAAAUGAAAUAGGGUGAAAACUGUACUUUUUCGUUUGAGGACAAAGAAAAAUAAGAAAAAAAUCUAGAAGAAUAAGAAAUCAUCAUGCCAUAAUAGUUCACCAUUCAACUUAGUAAUUGAGGGUUGGUUUAUGGAAAAAAUAUAAAAAAUGUAAAUCUGUCUUUAUUUAGGCCAAAUGUCUAGUUUAGGGUUCUCUUAAAAUAUUUGGAGACCCUUUUCUAAUAAUGAAAAUUGGACCCUUCCAACACUCUGCUUUGUGCCAAGGGCAUCAGGCUUGGAGUGUGACAAGUGUAAGUGACCCAUCAAUGAAUUUAGGAUAAACUUUGAUAUCACUUUAUAAUUUGUGUUUAGAGUCUAAUUCAAACCCACAAAACUAACUUGUUAGGUGAAAAUUAUCCAAGUUUUGUAAAUUUUAUUUAAGCCAUAUCUUUAGUUGAUGCGCUACUAGAUCCCCACCCUUGAAAUUGCAAUUAAGACAACCUCUGAAGAGUCUGCUAGCAAGACAAGCUAGGAUUUAAGCUGUAUUUCCAACAAAAACUGUGGUAUAUUGAAUGCUAAUUGGAAGCUUUAUCCAUCAAAACUAUUUUUUUUAAUGUCUGAUAAAAUUAUUGUUUGAAGGACUGAGUUUUGUGUUGUAAGACAACCUUUGGCUCUUGAAUUGAAUUUGUGCGUAAUUAAAAUGAACUGAAUUUUUCGCUAGUUACAUAUUCUUACUUCAAGAUGUCUCUUGUAUUUUGUAGAUGAGCAUGGGCCGUGAACGUAGUUCUCAUAGCCCUCUCAUAACAAACAUCUAGUGGUUAACUAGUCAUUUAAAAGAGGUACAUUUAUUGCUUCUCCUGCUUGUUAUUUUUCCUAUCAUAUGUAUAUGUAUGUGUAUUUAUAUAUAUUGUAGGAGAAUAAUUAAACCUACAUGACAUGAAUGAAUAAACUUUUGUUAUUGAUUUCUGCUAUUUGUGUUUAUUAUCAACUAUUUAUACUGAUAAAAAUGCAAUAGUUACUAUUGAUUUUAAUAUAAUGUCAGCAUGUUUUUAAUGAAUGUAUGUUUCAUGCUUGAAUAGAAAUGCUUUACAGGUCAAUCCCGCUUGUUAUGGGAUUUCAUAUCCUAAACUGAAAAUUCUUCUAUUUUCUUUGUAACAUUCUGUAUAUACUUUUCAUGUUAGAAAAAAGACUACUUGAAGGUGCUGAGACAUGCUAUUCAAUGAUCUUUUGUUACUCAGGAGCCAACAAUUACCUUAGGAAGUUGGAUCUUCAAUAUUAUUAGCUUUUGAUGGUAAAUAUCUUAGCUGCAUGUCCCAUUAUUAUUGUUUUCAUUUUCCUCUCUUUGCUAACCUACUUGCUGUAAAAUGCAAUCUGGCUUGAAGAGGACGAGGUGCAUGUUCCUUUUGAUCAAAUCCUCUGACACAAACAAAUCCUGAAAUGAAGCAUGAAAUUGUUAAGAACCAUUACAAGGUUGGUAGAUGCAGAUGAGUACUAAUCACUGAAUGAAGCAUCUAGAAUGUGGCUCAAUAUUUCCGGAAACUAUAUCGGUUGACUAGUUGUAUAUUGUAUCACUUGGAAAUGAUGAUACAUACAUUGACACAAACAUCUGGAUUUAUCUUUUUAUUGGAGAAGGUAAUCACGUAGUUGUGGAAUUUGAAGGUGUAGAUGAUGGUUUAAUAUGACAUUGUUAUAAAUGUUGUGAGAAUAGCUUAUGAUUAUUAUUUAUCAUUUUCCUUAAUUGUUGACAUUUGAUAGUUAUGAAAAUUUUGCUAAACCUAGAGUUACACCCUAGUCUAGUAAUUUAUUUUGGUCCCUGGUGAAUUGGCUUCCGAUACUGAAUUGGUGAUCAUUUGGAAGAGAUAACUGGUGCAUUAUAUUUUUUAGCAAAUCCAUUGCCAAA